Molecule: transfer RNA, 69 nt
Filed under: Ictidomys tridecemlineatus (thirteen-lined ground squirrel)
Lineage: Eukaryota; Metazoa; Chordata; Mammalia; Rodentia; Sciuridae
Description: Spermophilus tridecemlineatus (thirteen-lined ground squirrel) tRNA
Rfam family: tRNA
About the family: Transfer RNA (tRNA) molecules are approximately 80 nucleotides in length. Their secondary structure includes four short double-helical elements and three loops (D, anti-codon, and T loops). Further hydrogen bonds mediate the characteristic L-shaped molecular structure. tRNAs have two regions of fundamental functional importance: the anti-codon, which is responsible for specific mRNA codon recognition, and the 3' end, to which the tRNAs corresponding amino acid is attached (by aminoacyl-tRNA synthetases). tRNAs cope with the degeneracy of the genetic code in two manners: having more than one tRNA (with a specific anti-codon) for a particular amino acid; and 'wobble' base-pairing, i.e. permitting non-standard base-pairing at the 3rd anti-codon position.
Source: Rfam by way of RNAcentral
GGGGCUGUAGCUCAGUGGUAAAGCACUUGCCUAGCAGGCAUGAGGCUCUGGGUUUGAUCCUUAGCACCA